This 253-nucleotide ribosomal RNA is filed under the name uncultured bacterium. RNAcentral's name for it is "partial 16S ribosomal RNA". It matches the Rfam family "Bacterial small subunit ribosomal RNA", at positions 524 to 776 of the family's 1533-position model. The record is from RNAcentral.
UACGUAGGUGGCAAGCGUUGUCCGGAUUUACUGGGCGUAAAGGAUGCGUAGGCGGACAUUUAAGUCAGAUGUGAAAUACCCGAGCUUAACUUGGGUGCUGCAUUUGAAACUGGGUGUCUAGAGUGCAGGAGAGGUAAGUGGAAUUCCUAGUGUAGCGGUGAAAUGCGUAGAGAUUAGGAAGAACACCAGUGGCGAAGGCGACUUACUGGACUGUAACUGACGCUGAGGCGCGAAAGCGUGGGGAGCAAACAGG